CUUGGGUUACAGCCAAAACAGGGGCAAAUCCUCAAACUGCAAAAUAAGGCGUGGCAAAUCCUCAAAUUCCCCUCGAAUGGUCUGAGUCGCAGUAGUGCAUCCAGCGACCAGAGUUCGACUCUGCACUCUCGUGGAAAAGCUGGAUUUUUUCGACUGGAGGAGCAAUUCCGGCUUUAUCCAGUCGUGGCGAUGCCGGAUCCCGCGACGGCGCCGACGCCGACGCGAGCCACCAACCUCCCCGGCUGCGCUUCCGCGAAACCCUCGGAGAAGGCCCGGAGAAAUUCUCGGAGCAGUAGGCCCGCCGCUCCAGCACUUUUCCUCACCGCCGUCGCCAUCAAGGAUCAGUCGGGGGAUGAACAUCAAGAGGACUGAGCGGACGAUUGAUUAUGAAGAGGAGUAGUUAUUUACUCGGUGAGAGGAAGGACUAUUAUCUAGUGGAGACAAGGUGCAUGGAUAUGGAAAUCUGACUUACUGGCUGUUAUCUGAAAGAAAAUUCCCUCACCACUACUACUUCUCACAUAGCAACGGAUAUCUACCUAGCUUUUUCCACUAGAGCAAGUGCCACUCGCUGCUCAUGACCACUUCUCUAAGAGCAGGGAAGAUCUAGAUAGCUUUUGCUCUGUAGCAAAGGGCCAACAAGAAUCCAUCUCUCAUCUCUCGGCCCCAUUCAAGUACCAGCUCAAGUGCGACUGAACCCUGCCACUACUUCCCAGAGAACAAGAGCAAUCUAUCUAGUUUUACUCUAGAACAAGGGCCAACCAAGACCCGUCUCUCAUCUCUGCGGUUGAUUUUCAAGAACCAGGUCAGGGGAGAAGGAACCCUGGAACAAAUGGCGGGAUUUUUGGAUGUUUUAGCAUCCAAUGUCAGCAACAUGCUCACCGACAGCCAGAUCUGUCUCUCAUCGCCAGUCCAUCGAAGAUACCUAACUGAUUCCAGUUCCACUACAGUACUAUACCUAUUUUUCUCUCUCUAAAAUUCAUGAUCACCUCAAUUUUGUGUGCAAGCCACAUUUUACCUCCAGAAGGAGUUCUCGACUUAGAAGGGAGGCAGCUGGUGACAAGGGAUCAUGGUUCUGUCGGUAUGGACAAAUCAUAUGAUAAGAUAAGGCGUGAGCCUCGGAGUUAUCCUCGUUAUCCUUAUGCUAAGUGAGUGCAACAAGGAAGCUCCAGGUAUGGCUUAUGCUAAGUGAGUUCUCCGAGGUGGCCUUAUGCAAGUUCUACUAUCUGUGGCACCCCCGGCCUCCAUGUAUGGCUUGGCCCUCCGCCACUCACUCAGCGUUUGUACCUCCAGAACUAUUGCCAAUCAAUAAGGUUUUUGUGACUUGUGAGAUUCGAAAAAAAAGGGCGACAACGCAA
Long non-coding RNA from Triticum aestivum (bread wheat), 1355 nucleotides. RefSeq lists it as uncharacterized. NCBI's taxonomy places the organism in Eukaryota, Viridiplantae, Streptophyta, Magnoliopsida, Poales, Poaceae. The transcript has 5 exons. The record is from RefSeq and is a predicted model, not a curated record.